This is a non-coding RNA of Aedes albopictus (Asian tiger mosquito), 58 nucleotides long. The record is from Rfam. Lineage: Eukaryota; Metazoa; Arthropoda; Insecta; Diptera; Culicidae.
UAGCCUAGUGGUUAAGGCUAUGGACCGCCAAUCCGGAGACGGCGGGUUCGAUUCCCGU